This is a long non-coding RNA of Asterias rubens (European starfish), 1741 nucleotides long. RefSeq lists it as uncharacterized. The record is from RefSeq and is a predicted model, not a curated record. The transcript has 3 exons. NCBI's taxonomy places the organism in Eukaryota, Metazoa, Echinodermata, Asteroidea, Forcipulatida, Asteriidae.
GAUGGCGUUGGCAGCACACGUGGAUAUGUCACUUAAAACAACAGACAAAACGUAUGUUAAGACAAAGAUUUCCCAUCAAAUAUACGGUUGUCAAACCCGGAGUAUCAACCCACACCCUCAAGAACACUCCUAAGGUGAUGAAGAGCCUUGAUAUGAAAGAUGCGUCAGCUUGACUGAAGAGACCCCAUGAGAUGCGGCAUCAUCAUGAAUUCGAGUACAUCAUCUCCUCACUGCAUGCCUCAAGCUACUUCAGUUCAACUUUGCUAGUUAUUCAACACUUGGAUAUUAAGAACACUCAUGAUGAUGACAAGCCUUGGUAUGAAAGAUGCGCCAGCUUGACUGACCAGAGCAUGUGAGAUGCUGCCUCAUCAUAAUUUCAAAUACGUCAUCUUCUCAGCGUCUCAAGCUAAUUCAGUUCAACUUUGUGUUUCAUUCAAUACUAAGAUGUUAAGGUACGUCUCUCGUAGUGAGUUUUAUUUAAUGUACAAAGAUCUGUUUACAUGGACUCUCAUAAAACCACUCGGACAAUCAGUCUUUACUGUUUACAACUGAAACAAAGUUGUUAUUUAUUUGAAAAGCUAUUAGUUUAAUUCAAAGCAAAGGUGAACUUCGUAAAACAGCCCUAUGUGGCUGUUUUUGUUAUGAAGUGAAAACUUUGCUGAAUAUUGUUGUGUACAUUUUGUAGCUCCAUUGGAUCAUCAGGCCUGAUACUUUGCGGAGACAAAUUACGCAGCAAUUGCCUCCAUGCACACGGCUUUGGUCAUUGCAUUGGUGCCCAUUGAAAUGCUGUGGUACUAAUUCAAAUUUCCCUCAGACUCUGGCAUUUUACUGAGAAAAAGCUGCAUUGCCCGUACGAGAAUGAAGCAUCAGGCCUGAAGAAUGGGUAGUGAAAUGCAGAAAAGCAAGGGCUACUAGCUACAACUAACAUUUUGUACUGAAUACCAAAGCAGUGUAGUGAACAAUCAUGCAACAUAUAGGCUAACAUGUACAGUUUUAAAACAUAACUUUACACAGAUGUCAGAGUUUGAAACAUGUUUUAAAUACUUAGUUUGAUAUUUAUAUGUGGUAAAUUUGAUGUAUUUGUAUCGCACGUGAUUAUAUUUAUCUGCAAAACAUUGUACGAACCGAGCAGGGCCUUCGGUUUUAAUGGAGUUCAAAUAUAUGGAAACUUGGAGUGAACAUCUGCAUUUCCAUAAAGUUUUAUUCUUAGUAGUGAAAGUACAGUACUGUACCUUUUUACCAUUUUAUCUUGAAAAACUAGAUUUCGCAAAUCCAUGAGAACCCCAAAAUAAAUAGUUAUAGUAUUUUUUUAAUGAUUUUCUGAUCUAUAUAACAUGGAAAGUUGGCAAUGCAGAUGGUCCUUGUAAGCUUCCAUACAAUUUUUGCUCCAUCUUUUGAAGUCUGGUUCCACGUCUCUUAGUGGUAAUACAACACUAGUUCUUAAUGUAGGUGCCAGACUAAUUUCUUCACACACUUGUUUGAUUUCUCCUAUACAUGUAUUAUGUGUAUACACUUAGCUGAUAAGUUAUCAAGGUUAUGUGUGUGUAACUUAUAGUAAUUUUAAGCAAUAUUUAUUAAACGACACUUUCCUGUAAGUUUGUUUGUCACCAGAAUGUCUAUUACAUGUAGAAUGUCAACAGGGAUACCCUGGAGUGUAUCACGCACUGUUUUAAGGGUGUUUAAAAUGUUUUUACUCUCAAUUUUGGUAAUUUUCAGUGAUUUUCAAGUUUUUUUUCCCCCA